Bubalus bubalis (water buffalo) is the source of this 885-nucleotide long non-coding RNA. RefSeq lists it as uncharacterized. NCBI's taxonomy places the organism in Eukaryota, Metazoa, Chordata, Mammalia, Artiodactyla, Bovidae. The transcript is spliced from 2 exons. The record is from RefSeq and is a predicted model, not a curated record.
CCCCCGGCCUGGCCCCGCCCCCCGGUGCUCUGGAAACGCUGUCCCCGACAGGUGGAGACGAGCGCUUUGGUUCCGAGGCCGCGACAGCUUUUUCCCACGACACCGCUUGGUAGUUGACAGGCUCCCGAGACUCUUGGAGCUGUUCCUGUGCGUUUGCAAAUUAGAAAGAAAACCAAUGCUUAAGUGGGGGUGACUUGAGUUUUCACCGGAGCCUGUCACAGAGUUGCCAAGAAGCAAGUGGCCGGACCUCAAAGUCACACAGUGACUCUUGGACCUACGCGGUUAUCACCAAAAUGAGAUUUCAAGCACACUGUCAUAUUGGGAGUUGGUGAUGGACAGGGAGGCCUGGCGUGCUGCAAUUCAUGGGGUUGCAAAGAGUUGGACACGACUGAGCGACUGAACUGAACUGAAUGAUAUAUGAAGUUGAGCAUCUUUUCAUGUUUUUUGCCAUCUAUAUGUCACCUUUGGUGAGAUAUCUGUUGGAAUCUUUUGCUCAUUUUUAAAUUGAGUUGUUCAUUUUAAAUUGAGUUGUUGAGCUCUAAGAAUUCUUUUAAAAUUUUAGAUAACAGUCCACUCUCGAAUAUGUCUUUUGUAAAUAUUCUCCCCCAGUCUGUGGCUCAUCUGCUCAUUCUUUUCAUAUGUAUUUUUUGUAUAUGAUAGUAAAUGAAAGUUUAGAAUCCUGAGACAGGUAUAAAUUAGGAAUAUUUUUUUCCCUUAAGGGAAAAGAUCUUUUAUUUUUACUCAAAAUAUUCUUUGGUAUCCAACAUCUAUUUUCUGCACUCAUUCCCUAAUUUUCUGAUUGCAAGGCUUCUCUCCCUCAUUGUUAAACCCUUUCAAAGAUAUGAACAGAGAUUUUUGGCCAUUUGUCACCCGAUUUAUGAGAAG